Molecule: unclassified non-coding RNA, 369 nt
Filed under: Hevea brasiliensis (rubber tree)
Lineage: Eukaryota; Viridiplantae; Streptophyta; Magnoliopsida; Malpighiales; Euphorbiaceae
Source: RNAcentral
UCUCUAAUCCAAAAAAGCUCAAAUCUUGUACUAUGGGUAACUAUAUUUCUUGCACUUUAUCAGGGCCAGGAGGCAACAAAGAAUCAAGAGGGAUAAAAGUUAUAUUCCCAUGUGGUGAAAUUAGGCAUUUUUAUGAACCGAUUAAAGCAGCAGAGAUUAUGAUGGAAACUCCUAAUUUCUUUCUUGUAAACACUCGAUCACUUCAUAUUGGAAGGAGAUUUUCUGCGUUAAAUGCAGACGAAGAUCUUGAAAUGGGAAAUGUUUAUGUUAUGUUUCCGAUGAAAAGAGUGAAUUCUUUUGUAUCAGCAGGUGAUAUGGGUGCUCUGUUACUUACUGCGAACUCUGUUUCCAAAAGGGUGUCAAUAGGGA